Molecule: small RNA, 516 nt
Filed under: uncultured Glomus
Lineage: Eukaryota; Fungi; Glomeromycota; Glomeromycetes; Glomerales; Glomeraceae
Description: SSU rRNA
Rfam family: Eukaryotic small subunit ribosomal RNA
Source: RNAcentral
AGCAGCCGCGGUAAUUCCAGCUCCAAUAGCGUAUAUUAAAGUUGUUGCAGUUAAAAAGCUCGUAGUUGAAUUUCGGGAUCAAUCUAUCGGUCGUGCAAUAGUACGUACUGAUUUUAUUGAUUCCUACCUUCUGAUGAACUAUGAUGUCAUUAAUUUGGUGUCAUAGGGAACCAGGACUGUUACUUUGAAAAAAUUAGAGUGUUUAAAGCAGGCUCACGCUUGAAUACAUUAGCAUGGAAUAACGAAAUAGGACGUUUGAUUCUAUUUUGUUGGUUUCUAGGAUCGACGUAAUGAUUAAUAGGGAUAGUUGGGGGCAUUAGUAUUCAAUUGUCAGAGGUGAAAUUCUUGGAUUUAUUGAAGACUAACUACUGCGAAAGCAUUUGCCAAGGAUGUUUUCAUUAAUCAAGAACGAAAGUUAGGGGAUCGAAGACGAUCAGAUACCGUCGUAGUCUUAACCAUAAACUAUGCCGACUAGGGAUCGGAUGAUGUUAAUUUUUUAAUGACUCAUUCGGCGCC